AACUCGUAUGACACCGGCAUUGGGAAUUUCCCACCGUUUGUUGGGUGCUCCGCCGCGACGGGCGAUGGACCUCGCCGCCGGAUAUGCACCCUAGCUCACCACCGCUACCUCCACCGCCUCCUUUGCUGGUUAGUCGCCUGGAGGAAGCUCGGAAUCCUCCGCUCCAUCCUGUCGCGCCGCCCCAAAUUUUCCGAUUCCCGACGAGCCUCACUGUGGCUCCUCCGUUAUCCUCCGCGUGAAGAAGCUCGUUGCCGCUUUCUGUUCGAUUGAUUUGGUAUGGCUUCGGUAUACGGUAGCAAACAGGCCAGUGAGUUCAUUGAGAAGGGUACGCUGGAGAAAGGAAACCGCCAUUUUUUUGGCUUCGAGGUGCUGUUUGGAAUCUGGAUUGCUGGCCAUUCCUUGGGUAGUUUGACACGUUAACAAGGAUCACUCAUCUCUGUCAGAAAUUGAUCUUCUAAGAACAUUUAUGCUCACAUAAUAAAUAAUAUGCGAUUACUGAUGGACAUGGUCACUACUUCAGUAAACAUGGGUGUAUACUGAAUAUUCCCACUCCUUUGGGGAGAGUAUGUGGUGAAGCUACAUUCUGAUCAAGUGUUCAUAUCUUGAAAGCAGGAUUUCUUUGAUUACCUUUAAACUUGCUCCAUCAGACUGGACACCGUUACUUGCAAUCCUUGUGUUCCUUUUUCAUGUAAUGCUUAUUGAAUAUGCUCUACUAAAGUACUAGGAUUGAGGAUUAUUAUAAGAUGUACUAACUCAUCCAGGGACCAAAACUUUUAUAUCAUGGUCUAGUAAAACAGGUCUCACUUAUUACUAUCUCCCUGAGUUCCUGAACUCCUUUCAAGAAAGAAAAUCCACUAACUGAACUUCCAGUACUGAUCACCAUUGUGAGCAGAAUCAAUUAUGUGGUGUACCCAUGCGAGAUUCACAGCCCAUCUGAAAUUCGAACUGGCGAUACCAAGAUAGUAUUUCUGACAAAGGUACACGGGUGUCAAAGUGUUUUGCUUGUCAAUCAUGGUACAAGAUUUGUCAGUAGAAGAGUUGUGAGUAAUGAUGCACAUGCUAGGUUCAAUGGACUGGUAUCUGUGUGUCGCAUGGGUUUGAGAAGUGACAGAUUUUGCUGGGACGCAAAUAAUAUCUAUACAUAGAAAAUGCUCAAUGCUCAUAGUUACACUGAAUGGCACUUGUGAUGCAAUGAUUCAGAGACUGAAAAUCUAAACACCUUUUAAGCUGAUAUAGCUUCUCUGGCGAAUGCACAGUUCUGGUGUGGCUUUGCAAUGUAAAGUCAGGUCAUGUAUAAUUGUGAGUACGGUUAUUGCUUCUUUCGUGCAAUCGUGUCAAUUCGCGGGAGGAAUAUGGGAAAGGAUUCCGAUGGGCUCUGGGCGAGCAUGACUGUUGUUUCUAUGGGCUGUGUGUGAGUGGGGGUUAAAUUCUCAAUGUCAACACAGCGAGGCUACCUAGGAGACUGAAUAAUAUCCUGUUUGUUGCCAAGACGUAUCAGUACUGAACAUGGUUGGGAGACGAUAAUUGUAACAAGCUGAUAUGAAAGUUCGAGAACAACUUGGCCGAACUGUAACAAGUCGGUGAGCCUGUAUAACCUCUGGUAAAAAAAAUGAAAGGUCAUGAACGAGAAAAGGAUGAUGGCCCGAAAUUAAGGAUAUAUGCCGUCAUGUAUCCAACAAAGGAGAAGGAUGUUGGUCGAUUUUGCAUCGAGUUCCAUAAUUAAAGAGCAAUUUGAUUCCAGGGCUUCAUAAUGUGGGUGGCUGAAUGAAUCAUCUUCCGACUUCUAGAGUAUUUCUUCAACAGAGGCGCUCUUUCUGUUAGUCCCUUCAUCAGCAGAGAAAGCAGAGCUAUGCCCUUGUCAACAAACAUUUUACUUGUUCUGGGCUUCGAUUUCUAAUCUAUGCUUCCAUACGAAAACGGCCAAAACCAAUGCGGCGGCUCUCUGGGUCUCUCCCAUCUUGAGCUCUUACCCUUAUUCUUUUGAAUUGUUUACUUUGCCAUAUCUACAUGCCAUUGGUUUGUUGAAAUGUAUAAACAGUAAUGUCAUUUCUACAUGACUUGCGGAGUAUUUCAUAGCAUGGAAUAAUUGGUUGCAUGUUUUAGCGAAGCAUUACACAUUAAUUGGAGGAUUCUGAUCUUAUCUAAUUAUUUAAAACCUGACAUCUGAUUGUCACUCUUUCCAGUUCCACGUUCCCUUUUGUGUGUGCUAGGUGCAAGGCACUCAGAAUGUUAGAUUACCUUCAGAAUUUUAGUUUCCUUGCAACUCAGGUGUUAUUUUGUUUUUUACCUCGAAUACUUGUAUGUUUGUGAAACUGAAUACUGGACCAGCCAUGUAUGCUUGCUGCCUAUUGCUUCCAUACACAAACCUAAGGCCACACAGCGAUCUGAUUGAUGCCGAGGGUCUAGCAGUCUGGCUAAACAAAAAAAGUUCCUUCCCAUGUGUAUUUCAUUUCGUGAGGUUCAACUAUCGGUGAUAACCAGUGAAUCUUGAUAACAAGUCAAAGAUGGCUGCCCGGCCGCCCAGCCUAAUUAUGCCAAUUGGAAUUGCUCUUUUCAUGCAACCGUUUUUAUUAUUUAAGCAUUGAUGUGUGGAUUAUCUGUGCCGUACCAUCUUACUUUGGGAUUCCACUAAGUUUAAAUCAAUCAUGCCAACCUAGGAAGGAUAAGGUGGUAUGCUGAUUUGAUGGCUGGGGAGCUAGGCAACUCAGCAGGGGAUCAAAUGAUAGGGUUACCCUUUUCGGAGAUGCUUGUGUUCUUAUUCAAGACCAAUUUGUUUUAGCUGAUCACUUUGUUAGUUCUUUCUUGGAAAUGUAUCUUGUGCAGUGCAAUAAGGAAAGCCGAAACUACAAUAUGCUCAUGGGGGAUAUUUCGAGCUUCUUAUGAUAUUUUUAGAAACUAAUCCAACACCUGUGUGUUGCAACGGAUUGACAAAGAGUAAUGCUGCAUGUCAAAAUAUUAUUAUACUACGGAGUACCAUUUGUGCAGAAUGUUACUGCUACUGCUACUUUCUCAUGACUAAUUGUAUCGUUUUCAGAGCUAUGGGAGCACGCACGGUAGCAGCACUUAAUGAAUGGUAAUCAGAUUCCCUCUCAUGCCUUUGUUUGUUAGGGCUCCAACUAUUCCAAAAGCAGCUUCUAACCUCCGAGGGGAUAUUUCGAGCUUCUCACCACAAUGUCAGUGAAACAGUAGAAACACAAAUUGUCUGAUUUUUGUUGCAUGUAUGAUCAUGUCUGUUAUUCUGAAAGUACCUUCUCGAGGGAAGGGGAUAUUUUGAGCUUAUACCCAAAUCUUCAGUGAAAUGAUGGAAACUCAAGUCAUUUGUUGCCUCUAAUCUAACGUACUUUGUCCUCCUGUGAUGGUGGAUUACAAAAAUAAUCCUCUCGAACUCUCGAAUAGAUCUCACUGCAUUUUCUUUUCCUCUUUAGCCAAAAAGACCUGUUGCAAGCAGCAUACUACAAACAGCAUUGCACUAAGAUGGACUUGCCAAUAUUGAUGAUUUAAUUAUUCUCUUGACUAUUCGGAGGUUGUUGCAGGAGCCAAUUGGCGAACAUAGAACUGUGGGCUAGGUCUCUUUCCAGUACAUUAUAAGGUGGCCUCUCAUCAAAUUUGUAGCUUUUCAUUAGUUGGGUUCUCCUUUGUUUCCAGAAAUGGUGCAUCCAGCCUGACCAAGCACAUGUUCUUUGCCAACCUAGGCCUCUAGUUUUGGUAUUGCACUCUGAAACUGCAGCUGGCUUGUGUUUGGAACCUGCUACCUGAGCAACGGUGUCAAUGAGCGCUAGUAGCUGUAUUCUUAUCUGAAUUUUUUGAAGUACUCGGAACUUCAUGUCCAUUAUGACUCUUAUGACUCAUCAUA
Long non-coding RNA from Brachypodium distachyon (stiff brome), 3853 nucleotides. RefSeq lists it as uncharacterized. The record is from RefSeq and is a predicted model, not a curated record. The transcript is spliced from 10 exons. Lineage: Eukaryota; Viridiplantae; Streptophyta; Magnoliopsida; Poales; Poaceae.